GUACUAAUGGUCUAUUUAAAUGAGACAGAAACGAAAGUAGGGAGAUUGGUCGAGGAGGAUGGGUGGGCAUAAUCUGUGACAGUCUAGCAAUCCAAAUGUUGCAUGUUCGAGUCGCGUCGGGGACAACUGUAGCAUUGUAGUUAACCCUUCCCGUAACCCUUACUCUAAACUUAACCCAAUUCACCUAACCUGCUACAUAAAUUCACAUAACCAAGGUAAAUUCUCCUCUAAUUAUCAUUUGGUGUCUUAGAUAAAGACGUGCAAUACUAUCCUCCAAGACGUAUGAUAAGUUACAUUAUCCAAUUCGUAUGCUAUUGUACAACCGGGUAAGAGGUAUGAUACUAUACGUCCUCUAAUUCGUAUGAUAUUGUACGACCGCUAUUCCAUUUAUAAUCUAACAUAUACUAAAUGGAGUGUCACACAUUUACUUACAAACAAAUAUAAAUUGCCCUGAGAUCACGUUGGCAGUUGAUGGGAUCUCAAGCUUGACUGGUUUACAAUGGCCUCCUGUUUGGAUGUUGUUGCUAUUGCACUACUGUCACAGAUCGCUGGUCACAGUGAAGGGCGACAAGAUGGAGGCCCCUGCCAGACAACACUCAUAAAUCCUGAAUGACGCAGAUUGAAAAGACCUACAGCUAAGGCCAUUAGAAUCGAUGGAAGAACUGGGAACACGGACACAGAGUCAUGUUAACGCAAUCUCCCAGAGAGGGUGCAAGAUGGCCGAUGGCGAGAUGACGUGAGGCAGAAAGAAGGGCUAGAUGUUCAAACUCUCACUGACAUCUGUGAAAUACAAG
Long non-coding RNA from Oncorhynchus tshawytscha (Chinook salmon), 794 nucleotides. Lineage: Eukaryota; Metazoa; Chordata; Actinopteri; Salmoniformes; Salmonidae. The record is from Ensembl.